CCUACGGGCAGCAGCAGUGAGGAAUAUUGGUCAAUGGACGAGAGUCUGAACCAGCCAAGCCGCGUGAAGGAUGACGGCCCUAUGGGUUGUAAACUUCUUUUAUACGAGAAUAAAAUUUUCUACGUGUAGGAAUUUGUAUGUACCAUAUGAAUAAGGAUCGGCUAACUCCGUGCCAGCAGCCGCGGUAAUACGGAGGAUCCGAGCGUUAUCCGGAUUUAUUGGGUUUAAAGGGUGCGUAGGUGGUUUGUUAAGUCAGUUGUGAAAGUUUGCGGCUCAACCGUAUAAUUGCAGUUGAUACUGUCAGUCUUGAGUGCAGUAGAGGUAGGCGGAAUUCGUGGUGUAGCGGUGAAAUGCUUAGAUAUCACGAAGAACACCGAUUGCGAAGGCAGCUCACUAGACUGCAACUGACGCUGAGGCUCGAAAGUGUGGGUAUCAAACAGGAUUAGAUACCCUGGUAGUC
This 460-nucleotide ribosomal RNA is filed under the name uncultured bacterium. RNAcentral's name for it is "partial 16S ribosomal RNA". It matches the Rfam family "Bacterial small subunit ribosomal RNA", at positions 338 to 795 of the family's 1533-position model. The record is from RNAcentral.